GACGCGGGCAGCUCCAGGACUCGCCACCCGCAGCGCUCAGGCUCUUCUCUCUUGACAGCACCGCAGCGAUGGAUGGAGAUGGUGAUCCAGGGCCCCAGAAUAGGCUACCGUUUUCUUCCUGCUCCCAGGAAGUCCCUGGGCUCAGGGGCCCAAUCCAGAGAGUGUGAGCCACCCCGAAGAAGCGAGCCCAGAGGAGCAGCCAGAGGAGGCGGGCGCCGAGGCGAGUGCGGAGGAGGAGCAGCUCCGGGAGGCGGAGGAGGAGGAAGAGGCGGAGGCCGUGGAGUACCUGGCCGAGCUGCCGGAGCCACUGCUGCUGCGCGUGCUGGCCGAGCUGCCAGCUACGGAGCUGGUGCAGGCCUGCCGCCUGGUGUGCCUGCGCUGGAAGGAGCUGGUGGACGGCGCCCCACUGUGGCUGCUCAAGUGCCAGCAGGAGGGGCUGGUGCCCGAGGGCAGCGCUGAUGAGGAGCGGGACCACUGGCAACAGUUCUACUUUCUGAGCAAGAGGAGGCGCAACCUGCUGCGCAACCCUUGUGGGGAAGAGGACUUGGAGGGCUGGAGCGACGUGGAGCACGGUGGGGACGGCUGGAGGGUGGAGGAACUGCCCGGAGACAAUGGGGUGGAAUUUACCCAAGAUGACAGCGUUAAGAAAUACUUCGCCUCCUCCUUCGAGUGGUGUCGCAAAGCGCAGGUCAUUGAUCUGCAGGCAGAGGGCUACUGGGAGGAGCUACUGGACACCACCCAGCCCGCCAUCGUGGUGAAGGACUGGUACUCGGGUCGCACUGAUGCGGGCAGCCUGUAUGAGCUCACUGUGAGGCUGCUGUCGGAGAACGAAGAUGUGCUGGCGGAGUUCGCUACAGGACAGGUGGCUGUGCCAGAGGACGGCAGUUGGAUGGAGAUCUCCCACACCUUCAUCGACUACGGGCCAGGUGUCCGCUUUGUCCGCUUCGAGCACGGAGGGCAGGACUCGGUCUACUGGAAGGGCUGGUUCGGGGCCCGGGUGACCAACAGUAGCGUGUGGGUGGAACCCUGAACGACCUCCCCUACCCCCACCAUCCGCCCUCUAAGGCAGAAUUCUGGGGUAGAAAGGCCUUAAUUUAGUUGGUAGCAUCCUCACCUGCCUCGCCCACGCCUUGCACCUGCCUCUCUCCCGCCCCUUCCUUCAGUCUGGUCCCGAGGAAAGAAGGACAUGUUGCUUUACUGUAGGAUGGCUUUCAUUUGCAUCUCCACGGGCAGUCGCUUCUAGAAUGUACGAUCCGAGGGGGUAUGGGGCUGCUGCUGGAUCCCGCGCUCCUAGCAUUGUGCCUGCCUCAAAGUGGGCACUCAAUAAAUAUUUGUCCAAAGAACGCAA
This is an RNA transcript of Mus musculus (house mouse), 1348 nucleotides long. It is a transcript of the gene named F-box protein 2, with no coding region annotated. The record is from RefSeq and is marked validated. NCBI's taxonomy places the organism in Eukaryota, Metazoa, Chordata, Mammalia, Rodentia, Muridae. The transcript has 7 exons.